GUUGAAGUGCAGUAUGCCAGUUUUAGUAGUAAAACUCUAAACUGAGUCUUUCUUUUUUCUUUUUUUCAGAUGCAGUUUCUCUUCGUGUUGUUCCAAACAGAUUGCAGUUCUUUGAAUAUGAAUCAGUAGCAUUUUACUGUGAAGGAGUCGAUUAUUGUGAAGUUGUGCAUAAAAUUAAAGGGAAAGUAGAAUCAUGUAGUAAAACUAACAAGAGGACACCAACAGGAUCAUCCUGCUCCAUUAAAAUUGUUUAUACAUACAACAGUGGAGAGUACUGGUAUGAGACUGAAGGAGGGAGAAGAAGCAACAGCAUCAACAUCUCUGUCACUGAAGCUCCACAGGAAGCAUGACCAUCCAGAGAGUUUCCAAGUCAGAUGAAGGACUUUACAAGUGUAGCAUCUCAGGAGCUGGAGAAUCACCAGAGAGCUGGCUGAACGUCACAG
This is a long non-coding RNA of Oreochromis aureus, 443 nucleotides long. NCBI's taxonomy places the organism in Eukaryota, Metazoa, Chordata, Actinopteri, Cichliformes, Cichlidae. The record is from Ensembl.